This 232-nucleotide ribosomal RNA is filed under the name Staphylococcus aureus. RNAcentral describes it as "partial 16S ribosomal RNA". It matches the Rfam family "Bacterial small subunit ribosomal RNA", at positions 774 to 1007 of the family's 1533-position model. The record is from RNAcentral. Lineage: Bacteria; Bacillati; Bacillota; Bacilli; Caryophanales; Staphylococcaceae.
GGGAUUAGAUACCCUGGUAGUCCACGCCCUAAACGAUGUCAACUGGUUGUUGGGUCUUCAUUGACUCAGUAACGAAGCUAACGCGUGAAGUUGACCGCCUGGGGAGUACGGCCGCAAGGUUGAAACUCAAAGGAAUUGACGGGACCCGCACAAGCGGUGGAUGAUGUGGUUUAAUUCGAUGCAACGCGAAAAACCUUACCCACCUUUGACAUGGCAGGAAUCCUUUAGAGAU